This 490-nucleotide ribosomal RNA is filed under the name uncultured bacterium. Its description in RNAcentral is "partial 16S ribosomal RNA". It matches the Rfam family "Bacterial small subunit ribosomal RNA", at positions 30 to 507 of the family's 1533-position model. The record is from RNAcentral.
AUUGAACGCUGGCGGCAUGCCUUACACAUGCAAGUCGAACGGCAGCAUGAUCUAGCUUGCUAGAUUGAUGGCGAGUGGCGAACGGGUGAGUAAUACAUCGGAACGUGCCCUGUAGUGGGGGAUAACUAGUCGAAAGAUUAGCUAAUACCGCAUACGACCUGAGGGUGAUAGUGGGGGACCGCAAGGCCUCAUGCUAUAGGAGCGGCCGAUGUCUGAUUAGCUAGUUGGUGAGGUAAAGGCUCACCAAGGCGACGAUCAGUAGCUGGUCUGAGAGGACGAUCAGCCACACUGGGACUGAGACACGGCCCAGACUCCUACGGGAGGCAGCAGUGGGGAAUUUUGGACAAUGGGCGAAAGCCUGAUCCAGCAAUGCCGCGUGUGUGAAGAAGGCCUUCGGGUUGUAAAGCACUUUUGUCCGGAAAGAAAUGGCUCUGGUUAAUACCUGGGGUCGAUGACGGUACCGGAAGAAUAAGGACCGGCUAACUACGUG